UGAUGUUGUAGGGGUCUUGAGUCUCUGUUAUUUUUCUAGUUUUUGGGUAAACUUGAAAAAAUUACAAAAAGAUUUUAUUUAGUUUUAUUUUUUUGGGUUAUUUUAUUUGUUUCACACUUCACCACCUCGUGGUUUUUCUUUUCACUUCUUUUCCAUGGGGGUUCCCCUUGAACCCAUUAUCCUUUUUCUUUUUAGGAGUAAAUAUUAAUUUUUUUUGUUUUAGGUAAGUG
RNAcentral lists this long non-coding RNA (230 nucleotides) under Capsicum annuum. RNAcentral's name for it is "long non-coding RNA (CANN_LNC009690)". Lineage: Eukaryota; Viridiplantae; Streptophyta; Magnoliopsida; Solanales; Solanaceae. The record is from RNAcentral.